Molecule: ribosomal RNA, 360 nt
Filed under: uncultured eukaryote
Lineage: Eukaryota
Description: partial 18S ribosomal RNA
Rfam family: Eukaryotic small subunit ribosomal RNA
Source: RNAcentral
CAAUAGCAUAUAUUAACGUUGUUGCAGUUGAAAAGCUCGUAGUUGAACUUUUGGUAGGAGCGACCUGGCCUUGGGCGCAUGCCCUUGUUUGCCGUGUGUCGUAUCUGGCCAUCCUUUUCUUCUUUUGGAAGGAAUCUUUUACUGUGAGUAAACUGGAGUGCUCAAAACAAGACGUUUGUUUGGUACAUUAAAGCAUGGAAUAAUAAGAUAGGACCUGGUUACUAUUUUGUUGGUUUGCAUAGCUAGGUAAUGAUUAACAGGGACAGUUGGGGGUAUUCGUAUUUAAUUGUCAGAGGUGAAAUUCUUGGAUUUAUGAAAGACGAACGACUGCGAAAGCAUUUACCAAGGAUGUUUUCAUUA